This 530-nucleotide ribosomal RNA is filed under the name Pedostibes tuberculosus (Malabar tree toad). RNAcentral describes it as "partial large subunit ribosomal RNA". It matches the Rfam family "Bacterial large subunit ribosomal RNA", at positions 1923 to 2605 of the family's 2925-position model. The record is from RNAcentral. Lineage: Eukaryota; Metazoa; Chordata; Amphibia; Anura; Bufonidae.
UUCAACGGCCGCGGUAUCCUAACCGUGCGAAGGUAGCGUAAUCACUUGUUCUUUAAAUGCGGACUAGUAUGAAUGGCAUCACGAAGGUUAUACUGUCUCCUUUCUCUAAUCAGUGAAACUAAUCUCCCCGUGAAGAAGCGAGGAUAAAACUAUAAGACGAGAAGACCCUAUGGAGCUUUAAACAACAUAGCAUUUGCCAUAUUAUACAUAAAUUUAUAAAAAUUAAUAAAUCUUCAGGCAACUUGACUAUAAGUUUUUGGUUGGGGUGACCGCGGAGCAUAACAAAACCUCCAUGUUGAAAGAACACUCUUCUAAGCCAAGAGUUACACCUCUAAGCAUCAACAUAUUGACACUCAUUGACCCAAUAUAUUUGAACAACGAACCAAGUUACCCUAGGGAUAACAGCGCAAUCCACUUCAAGAGCUCCUAUCGACAAGUGGGUUUACGACCUCGAUGUUGGAUCAGGGUUUCCCAGUGGUGCAGCCGCUACUAAAGGUUCGUUUGUUCAACGAUUAAAACCCUACGUGAUC